UAAAGAACUCACAAUAAAUCAUAUUAAACAGUUACAAGAUAUUAGACAGCUGCUUGAAUUUUUAUCCAAGACUUUUUUGAAUUAUAUUUUUUAAGUCUUUUUAACAAUUGAAGCUUUCUGCCUUUCUCACUCACCCAAGUGUGUUCAAAUUCCUGGCUGGAGAUCUAAGAAGAGAGGAAGGAGCACAUUCAGAACUGGGGGUCACAGAAGAAACUUUAAGCCGAAAGGAUCCCUAGUGUGCGGAAUGGCACUUGCAGGAAGCAGCUGGCAUUAGGAUCAUUUAUUGUCUGUUGUCAGUGCUGUUCUCUGACCUGGAGCUUGGAGGCCCGGCUAUUGUAAACCCACAGAAGAAAACUCAAAACUUAUGCAGAAUUAUUGAUUGUUUUCUCCACCCAGAAGAAAUCGUUUUUCCUGGAAAGUCAGCCAUAUGGUGCCACAGAGGUGGAAGUAAGCCCUGAGUGGAACUACAAAGACCAGAAAGUGAAUCAUCGUUGGAAGAGUCUUGACAUUCUUACCAAACAAGAAGAAAAGAAGAAGCCUGAUACAACUUAAUUUUUUUCCUGUUGGUUAGAAUAUUACAACAGAGAUAGCACCACACCCCUCUAAGGAAUGCUCCACUUCUGACCAACUCCUUUCACAUCGGCAACUGUUGCCACGGUUCUUGUCUGAGACCCCAGAGAGCUGUUCUGAAUUGUCUCUUGGAUUCAUCCGGGCACCCUUCCAUUACUGUUGGCUUCUAGUAGUCAUGGAAAUUACAAGUUGUCCUGUUUAGUGUGGCAGCUGGAUUAUACAUCCCCAUAUGUGGUCAUAUGACACAGUGACACCAGUCUGGACCAUGUGACUACUUGCCCAGUGGAAUGUACACAGAAGUAGAGUAUACUGUAACCAAGCAGAAGCUUUGAGAACCCUAGUGUCCUUCAGCCAUUUCUCCCUCCCUCUGCAAUGCCAAAGUCCCCCCCCACAGGAACUGAUCCUUUCAGCCUGGCUCCUGGAAUGAGAAGAUAGAUAGAGAGGAGCUGCAGCUGAUCCACAGAUGACUCGUAACAUGAACAAGAAAUAAAUCUUUAUUAGUGUAAGUCAUUGAGACUUUGCCUUUGUUUGUUCAUGCAAAUAACCUAGCAAAAUUUGAUAAUACACAGUCCUCACUACACUGUGAUAGAUUUAAAAUAAAUGACUAUUUUAGUUCUAAUGUGUAGAAGCAGAUAUGACUUGGAAAUUUACAUAAAAGCUUGAUAUUUGCAUUGGGUUCAUUGUCAUUGAGUUUUCACCAUUUAAAUCACAGCCUUGUCCAGGUACUUGGAUAAAAGAAAUAUGUGCCCCUUGGGGCCGGCCCGGUGGCACAGCG
Equus quagga is the source of this 1345-nucleotide long non-coding RNA. RefSeq lists it as uncharacterized. The record is from RefSeq and is a predicted model, not a curated record. The transcript is spliced from 6 exons. Lineage: Eukaryota; Metazoa; Chordata; Mammalia; Perissodactyla; Equidae.